AGGAAAACACAUCAGUAAAAGAGGGUAACCAAAAGGUAUUCAAAAGAAAGUGUAACAUUAACACAGUUAAAUACUUCCAAGGUGUUAGUGUAAUCUUUUUCUAGUGAGAGAAGAAGUGAAAACAUUGCCUAAGUACUCCAUCAUCUUUAUUAUCAUCAUGGUUACGACAGGAUGAAAAUUACGGUUACGAUAUCAAUUUUUUUCUUUAAUCCAAUUGUCUGUAAUAUGAUAUGACAAGCCACUGAAAAAAUGAUUUAAGUUUUCAAACUCAUCAUCUUCAUCUUUAUCCCUUCAAUCAAGCUACAUCGUCACCAUCAUCAUCAACUUGUUCAUCAUAAUCAUCAUCAUCAGGAUAAUCUUUUCUCCCCUCAAUCCAUUUAACAGUUGACUUAACAGUUAUAGGAAUCGUUUCUUUCUCCUUUUUCUUGGAAUUCAAAGGUUUUCGGUGAUUUUUUGGAUUCUUCUUGUUCUCCUCAUUUAGGAUUUCGUUAAUAUUGUUUCCGAUUUUCCUCGAAUCCAUUGGAAAUUAACAAAUCACUGAUUCUUUCAAGAAUCUUUUGUUUUUUUCUCUCCUUUUCAAGUUAAUCAUCGGAUUCACAUUGAUUUACUUUUAACUAAUAGAGUAUAUUAUGUAACUGACGUUAUAGAUAAAAGAAAAUUCAAGAUCAAGAUAGACUCAAAGAUGGAGGAAAAGAGGGAAAGGUGGAGCCACAUCUCGAUCAAAGAUGUUUGGAUCCAUAGGAAUCGAAUCCCUGAUUCAUUUAUUUCGAUUAAAAAAAUUUUCGAUUGAUAAUUUUUCUUUCGCAAUUCUUUUUAUUGAUCUAAAUUGUUGUAUUCUAAUUUGAUUACAGAUUAUAGUUUAUUAUAUGUUAAGUAUGAAACUGAUUGACGUUCGAUAAUCAAACUAUGUCAACAUGUUAAACAUCUAGAGAGUUUAAGAGACAACACCUUAAGGUGUCAUCUUGUGUUCAUCUCAUUUGGUCAACUGAUUGUCAAUCUUCAUGACUUUGUUAAUUGAACUGGAUUAAGUCUGAAUUUUUGGAAUCUCUUUUUCUUGUUCCUUCAAUUGGUAUUGACUUUGGAUUGGAUUGCGUAAAAAGAAACAGUAAAAUCGCCUAAAGGUGUUAUUGUGGUGAGAUAUUUAUAUAAAUGGUUUUUAGGUGACACAUUGAUGGAGUCUGAGAAUCAGUGAAAAUUGAGACAACUUGAGAUCUCUUUCUGAUUUUGCUGAUUAAAAAUGGCGACAAAAUAUUUGUCAACCUCUAUUGAUAUUACGUAAUAAUAAUGGAAUAACCAAUGCAACUGAUAAAUAAGCUCGAGGACAAAUACAAUCCACCGGUGGUGAUAAUGUUUAUGGUAAACAAUUAGAGAAACUGUUUUUAUAGGAGAAACGCAACCAAUGGAGUUCUUGACCGGUUUAUGGACAGAAAACCUAUUAACAAAAGAUUGACCCUUCCAUGGACCUUGGAUCAAUCAUCUGAAUAUUUAUGGUAUCAUGUUACUUGAAUUUGUAUUUGAACACAAAACAACUGAUGGAAAAAAAAUCUCAAGAUAAUUGCAAUUCUAGGAUAAGAUGAAGGAAACAACUUAUUGAAAAGAUACGAUAUAUAAUUGAUGGAGACUUCAACUAACAGUAAAAAUGAACAACAGGAAUACAUACAAUCUGAAGGAGGCAAUGGAACUGGAAGAAGACACAAAAGAGGAAAAGAGAUUGUAAAUAAAAGCAGAAACUCAAUACAACUUUUAUCUGGAUAUCUAUCGUUUCUCCGAGUAAUUUACAGAUCCAAUUUCAAAGGAAUUCAUUUUGAUUUCAACUCUCAAGGUGAUGAUAAACUUGAGGAUAACCUGAAAACAAAGAUAAUUGAACAAAUGAUGAGGUCAGUUUGACAAUAAAAGGGAUAACCAAUGAUAAAUAUUACCUUGCAACACCCAUGAGGUAAUCAAGUAAUCAAAGCUUACAACUUUUGGAUUGUUCAAUCAUCAAGGUGACCACUAAUCAUAAGCUUAAACAAAUUGUAUUCCCUAUUAACCCAUUGAAGCUUUUUUGUCAACAAUUAGAUUUGCCAAUGUUUUAUGUAAUUGUCAAUCAUUCAAAUCAUUUAUCACCACGUUAUCAUCAGUUAUAUACAUUAACCAUUCUAAUUAUACAAUUGUGAUGAUUGUUUACAACUGAAUUAAUUUGGGUUAACACUAAACGAAAUUAAUCAUCUUGUAAGCCACAAUCUAAUUUAAUGUGGUCAUUUGUAUUGAUUGUCAUCUCUAUUUUCUGAUUGUAAUUUUAUUUUUUCCUCUUCCCAUUUAACAUACUAAUUAAUGAUAACCUUAAAUCACUUUUAUAAUUAACAUUAUAAAACUAAUCGAUUAACAAUUAACCUGACCAAACGAAAAGCAGAAAAAAAAAGAGAAGCAGUUAUUAUCUUUUUCCUAUCCU
Molecule: long non-coding RNA, 2431 nt
Organism: Panonychus citri (citrus red mite)
Lineage: Eukaryota; Metazoa; Arthropoda; Arachnida; Trombidiformes; Tetranychidae
Exons: 6
Source: RefSeq, a predicted model, not a curated record